This 1021-nucleotide small RNA is filed under the name uncultured bacterium. RNAcentral's name for it is "bacterial SSU rRNA". The stretch from base 1 to 494 matches the Rfam family "Bacterial small subunit ribosomal RNA", at positions 1045 to 1533 of the family's 1533-position model. The record is from RNAcentral.
AUGGCUGUCGUCAGCUCGUGUCGUGAGAUGUUGGGUUAAGUCCCGCAACGAGCGCAACCCCCGUGUUCUGUUGCCACCCAGAUGUAAAUCUGGAGCACUCUGGACAGACUGCCUGGUUUCAACUAGGAGGAAGGUGGGGAUGACGUCAAGUCAGUAUGGCCCUUACGGCCAGGGCUGCACACGUACUACAAUGCCUGAUAUAAUGGGAAGCAAGACCGCGAGGUGGAGCAAAUCCUCAAAAUCAGGCCCAGUUCAGAUUGUAGGCUGCAACUCGCCUACAUGAAGGAGGAAUCGCUAGUAAUGCCGUAUCAGCUACGACGGCGUGAAUACGUUCCCAGGCCUUGUACACACCGCCCGUCACAUCAUGAAAGUCGAUUGUACCCGAAGUCGCUGAGUUAACCGCAAGGAGACAGGCGCCGAAGGUAUGGUUGGUAAUUGGGAUGAAGUCGUAACAAGGUAGCCGUAGGGGAACCUGCGGCUGGAUUACCUCCUUUCUAAGGAUGAGUGAAAGUAAAAUUUCACUCUAAAUAAUAUACAUCGGUAAUGUUGACCGUCCUCAUUUCUCUUCUUAAAGUAAUGUUUCCUUCUUGUAGGGCCGGUAGCUCAGUUGGUUAGAGCACACCCUUGAUAAGGGUGGGGUCGAAAGUUCGAGUCUUUCUCGGCCCACCAAUAACCUAAAUGGGGGAUUAGCUCAUCUGGGAGAGCGCCUGAUUUGCAUUCAGGAGGUAGCAGGUUCGAUCCCUGUAUCCUCCACCAGGAAACAUUUAGUUAUUAAAACUGUAAAUAAAAAUAAUUUAUAUCAAUAUCUAUAUCCGAACAUUAAAAGUUAUUAUUUAAUGUUCAAAAUAAAAAUUUGAUCACAACACAGAAAAAAUUUUUUUCUGUGCAUAAAUCAAGCGUUUAAGGGCGUGUAGUGGAUGCCUUGGCACUGAAAGCCGAUGAAGGACGUGAUAUACUGCGAUAAGUUUCGGGGAGCUGUAUGUAAGCUUUGAUCCGAAAAUUUCCGAAUGGGGAAACCCGG